GGAUAUAAAUCAAGUCACAUUUAAUUCAUGCAUUGGUGUUCUCACCCACACCCACAACCCGAUCACCUACAGAGACUUUUGCCAGGUGCCUCCUAAGCACCUUCAAAGGGUCAUUGACAGCUUGGAGUGUAGUUAUGAUUUUCAAAAUAACCAACAUGUGAUGACAAAUUACGUUCAUGAACGCGUGAACACCUCUUGGAGAAAUUAGAAGGACCGGUUGCAUUUAAAGUAUAUUAAGAACAAGGAUCCUGCAGCUGUGAAAUCAUCUCCCGCCCCUGUUGGUGUGCCUAUCAAGGAUUGGAUUAUCUUUGUGGAUCAACACAAUACAAAUGAAUUCAAGGAAUUGAGUGCAAGAAAUGCCUUCAAUCGGUCCAAACAAGUUGGCCCUUCUACACUUGGGCGGCAUAGCAUGGUUGUCACACGCCAUUAGAUGGUACAUGCAAUUGAGAGGAAUCUUACUAGUGAUGCCGAGGUUGGUAGGGCUGAGGUGUACAUCAGAGCCCAUACAACAAAGGAUGACAAAUUGCAAUUUUCUGAAACCUUUGUAA
Molecule: long non-coding RNA, 548 nt
Organism: Magnolia sinica
Lineage: Eukaryota; Viridiplantae; Streptophyta; Magnoliopsida; Magnoliales; Magnoliaceae
Exons: 2
Source: RefSeq, a predicted model, not a curated record